GGGGGCGCCGCUCAUUGCGCUGCCGUCCACAGGGAGCUGCCGCAGCCGCCCCCCUUGCUGUCGCCGCAGAAUGCCCCUCACAUCGCCCUGGGCCCCCAUCUCAGGUCCCCCUUCCUGGGGGUGCCCUCGGCUCUGUGCCAGACCCCAGGCUACGGCUUCCUGCCCCCCGCCCAGGCGGAGAUGUUCGCGCGGCAGCAGGAGCUCCUGCGGAAGCAGAACCUGGCCCGGUAGGUGCGGGGAGGCGGGCGGGGCCGCGCGGCCCGGGAGGCGGCUGACCCGCGUCUGCCCCCGGCCCAGGCUGGAGCUGCCCGCCGACCUCCUGCGGCAGAAGGAGCUGGAGGGCGCGCGCCCGCAGCUGCUGGCGCCCGAGGCCGCCCUGCGCCCCAACGACGGCGCCGAGGAGCUGCAGCGGCGCGGGGCCCUGCUGGUGCUGAACCACGGCGCGGCGCCACUGCUGGCCCUGCCCCCCCAGGGGCCCCCGGGCUCCGGACCCCCCACCCCGUCCCGGGACUCGGCCCGGCGAGCCCCCCGGAAAGGGGGU
This 541-nucleotide small RNA is filed under the name Pongo abelii (Sumatran orangutan). RNAcentral describes it as "retained intron". Lineage: Eukaryota; Metazoa; Chordata; Mammalia; Primates; Hominidae. The record is from RNAcentral.